RNAcentral lists this ribosomal RNA (530 nucleotides) under uncultured bacterium. RNAcentral's name for it is "bacterial SSU rRNA". It matches the Rfam family "Bacterial small subunit ribosomal RNA", at positions 355 to 896 of the family's 1533-position model. The record is from RNAcentral.
UGGGGAAUUUUGCGCAAUGGGGGAAACCCUGACGCAGCAAUGCCGCGUGGAGGAAGAAGGCUUUCGAGUCGUAAACUCCUGUCCUCGGGGACGAAGGAAGUGACGGUACCCGGGGAGGAAGCCCCGGCUAACUCCGUGCCAGCAGCCGCGGUAAUACGGGGGGGGCAAGCGUUGUUCGGAAUUACUGGGCGUAAAGGGCGCGUAGGCGGCCGCAGCAGUUCUGGGUGAAAGCCCCCGGCUCAACCGGGGAAGGUCCUGGAAAACCAUGCGGCUGGAGUGCUGGAGAGGCCAGCGGAAUUUCGGGUGUAGCGGUGAAAUGCGUAGAUAUCCGAAGGAACAUCGGAGGCGAAGGCGGCUGGCUGGACAGACACUGACGCUGAGGCGCGAAAGCCAGGGGAGCAAACGGGAUUAGAUACCCCGGUAGUCCUGGCCGUAAACGAUGGGUACUUGGUGUGUGGGGUGGAGAAAGUCCCUACGUGCCGGCGAUAACUCGUUAAGUACCCCGCCUGGGGAGUACGAUCGCAAGAUUG